Non-coding RNA from Acanthosepion pharaonis, 112 nucleotides. The record is from the annotation of a GenBank genome assembly. NCBI's taxonomy places the organism in Eukaryota, Metazoa, Mollusca, Cephalopoda, Sepiida, Sepiidae.
AGGGCCAUAUCACGUUGAAACAGCGGUUCCUGAACGAUCACCGAAGUUAAGCAACAUCGAGCCUGGUCAGUACCUAGAUGGGUGACUGCUUGUUAAUACCAGAUGUUGUAAG